CCUACGGGUGGCAGCAGUGGGGAAUAUUACACAAUGGGGGAAACUCUGAUCCAGCGACGCCGCGUGAGUGAAGAAGUAUUUCGGUAUGUAAAGCUCUAUCAGUAGGGAAGAAAAUGACGGUACGUGACUAAGAAUCUCCGGCUAACUACGUGCCAGCAGCCGCGGUAAUACGUAGGGGGCAAGCGUUAUACGGAUUUACUGGGUGUAAAGGGAGCGUAGACGGCCAGACAAGUCAGAAGUGAAAGCCCAGGGCUCAACCCUGGGACUGCUGUUGAAACUGGCGGGCUGGAGUGCAGGAGAGGUAAGCGGAAUUCCUGGUGUAGCGGUGAAAUGCGUAGAUAUUAGGAGGAACACCAGUGGCGAAGGCGGCUUACUGGACUGUAACUGACGUUGAGGCUCGAAAGCGUGGGGAGCAAACAGGAUUAGAUACCCUUGUAGUC
This 440-nucleotide ribosomal RNA is filed under the name uncultured bacterium. RNAcentral's name for it is "partial 16S ribosomal RNA". It matches the Rfam family "Bacterial small subunit ribosomal RNA", at positions 338 to 795 of the family's 1533-position model. The record is from RNAcentral.